GGGUGUUAAACUGUUGAGAAUAUCUUGGAGAUAUUGUCAUGGAUAGGUUUAGUUGGCUUUGGUAGUUUGUAUCUCUUUCCCCUGGAUAGGAAUUUUAAUCGUUUCUUGUAAGCUAAGUGAGGAUAAGGGUACCCACGGGUCCCCACCGACCAGGAUACUGGUCGGCCCUAAGAAAUGGGCCCACCCGACCACACCGUGCGGGCCAAGGCAUGAACAUACAUGGAGCACAAAUCUGGAGGCUGAG
RNAcentral lists this long non-coding RNA (244 nucleotides) under Setaria viridis. RNAcentral describes it as "long non-coding RNA (SVIR_LNC006734)". Lineage: Eukaryota; Viridiplantae; Streptophyta; Magnoliopsida; Poales; Poaceae. The record is from RNAcentral.